GAAGAAAAUCUAUCUAUGAAAAUUUUGGAGCAAGAAAAAUAGCAAAGGGAGAAAAGAUUCCAUCAGAGUCAGUAGGAUAAGAAAAAAUAAAACAAAAGAAGCCAUCUCUUUAAAUAAAAGGAUGCACGUCUCUCAUAGGACGUCAAGUCGGUAUGAAUCCCUAAAAUAGACCACGCAUCAAGGCUUCAUUAGCUCAACAACUGGCCGAUGGUCUCCACAUUUAAUGCAUCCCAG
RNAcentral lists this long non-coding RNA (234 nucleotides) under Elaeis guineensis (African oil palm). RNAcentral describes it as "long non-coding RNA (EGUI_LNC031632)". Lineage: Eukaryota; Viridiplantae; Streptophyta; Magnoliopsida; Arecales; Arecaceae. The record is from RNAcentral.